RNAcentral lists this ribosomal RNA (234 nucleotides) under uncultured bacterium. RNAcentral describes it as "partial 16S ribosomal RNA". It matches the Rfam family "Bacterial small subunit ribosomal RNA", at positions 15 to 220 of the family's 1533-position model. The record is from RNAcentral.
GAUCCUGGCUCAGGAUGAACGCUGGCGGCGUGCUUAACACAUGCAAGUCGAACGAAGAUGCCAUAGUAGAAGCAAUUAGCUUGCUAAGAGUGGACACAGUGGGAUCUUAGUGGCGGACGGGUGAGUAACGCGUGGGUAACCUGCCGUAUACAGGGGGAUAACACCUGGAAACAGGUGCUAAUACCGCAUAAGCGCACGAUGUCGCAUGACAACGUGUGAAAAGCCGAGACGGUA